RNAcentral lists this ribosomal RNA (254 nucleotides) under uncultured bacterium. RNAcentral's name for it is "partial 16S ribosomal RNA". It matches the Rfam family "Bacterial small subunit ribosomal RNA", at positions 524 to 776 of the family's 1533-position model. The record is from RNAcentral.
UACGGGGGGAGCAAGCGUUGUUCGGAUUUACUGGGCGUAAAGGGCGCGUAGGCGGCCUCUGCAAGUCGACUGUGAAAUCUCCGGGCUUAACCCGGAAAGGUCAGCCGAUACUGCGGGGCUAGAGUGCAGAAGGGGCAACUGGAAUUCUCGGUGUAGCGGUGAAAUGCGUAGAUAUCGAGAGGAACACCUGCGGCGAAGGCGGGUUGCUGGGCUGACACUGACGCUGAUGCGCGAAAGCUAGGGGGGCGAACGGG